RNAcentral lists this ribosomal RNA (322 nucleotides) under uncultured eukaryote. Its description in RNAcentral is "partial 18S ribosomal RNA". It matches the Rfam family "Eukaryotic small subunit ribosomal RNA", at positions 1470 to 1796 of the family's 1831-position model. The record is from RNAcentral.
CCCUUAGAUGUUCUGGGCCGCACGCGUGCUACACUGAGUGGAUCAGCGGGUCAGGUUACGCGAGAGCGUUUCCUAAUCUUCAAAUCCGCUCGUGAUGGGGAUUGACGGUUGCAAUUUUCCGUCAUGAACGAGGAAUACCUUGUAAGCGCGGGUCAUCAUCCCGCGCUGAAUACGUCCCUGCCCUUUGUACACACCGCCCGUCGCUCCUACCGAUUGAGUGGUCCGGUGAGGCUUUGGGAUCUAAGCGAAAAGAGCGUUUCGCUCCUUUUGUUGGGAGAACUCAGUCGAACCUUAUCAUUUAGAGGAAGGAGAAGUCGUAACA